This 515-nucleotide ribosomal RNA is filed under the name Bolitoglossa copinhorum. Its description in RNAcentral is "partial large subunit ribosomal RNA". It matches the Rfam family "Bacterial large subunit ribosomal RNA", at positions 1816 to 2597 of the family's 2925-position model. The record is from RNAcentral. Lineage: Eukaryota; Metazoa; Chordata; Amphibia; Caudata; Plethodontidae.
CGCCUUUUGUAAUAUACAAAUAUAAAAGGUCCUGCCUGCCCAAUGACUUGUUUUAAUGGCCGCGGUAUUGUGACCGUGCAAAGGUAGCGUAAUCAUUUGUCUUUUAAAUAAAGACCAGUAUGAACGGCAAGACGAAAGCCUCACUGUCUCCCUAGCCCAAUCAAUGAAAUUGAUCUUCCCGUGCAGAAGCGGGAAUAUAAAUAUAAGACGAGAAGACCCUGUGGAGCUUUAAACUACUAACUACAUCCGCAAAUGCUUUAGUUACAAGUUUUAGGUUGGGGCGACCAUGAGGUAUAAUAAAACCCUCACGAUAUAACUAAGAAGGACACUUCAAUAUAACCACAUAAUACAUUGACCCAACAAUUGAUCAACGAACCAAGUUACCCCAGGGAUAACAGCGCAAUCUACUCAAAGAGUCCAUAUCGACGAGCAGGUUUACGACCUCGAUGUUGGAUCAGGACCCCCAAAUAGCGCAACAGUUAUUAAAGGUUCGUUUGUUCAACGAUUAAAGUCCU